RNAcentral lists this ribosomal RNA (507 nucleotides) under uncultured archaeon. RNAcentral describes it as "bacterial SSU rRNA". It matches the Rfam family "Archaeal small subunit ribosomal RNA", at positions 474 to 981 of the family's 1478-position model. The record is from RNAcentral.
UACCAGCUCUCCGAGUGGUGUGGACGUUUAUUGGGCCUAAAGCAUCCGUAGCUGGCUGGGCAAGUCCCCUGUUAAAUCCACCGAUUUAAUCGUUGGUGUGCGGGGGAUACUGCUCGGCUAGGGGACGAGAGAGGCAAGCGGUAUUCCCGGGGUAGGGGUGAAAUCCUAUAAUCCCGAGAAGACCACCAGUGGCGAAGGCUGCUUGCUAGAACGCGCCCGACGGUGAGGGAUGAAAGCUGGGGGAGCGAACCGGAUUAGAUACCCGGGUAGUCCCAGCUGUAAACGAUGCAGACUAGGUGUUUGGACGGCCACGUGCCGUUCUAGUGCCGCAGGGAAGCUGUUAAGUCUGCCGCCUGGGGAGUACGAUCGCAAGAUUGAAACUUAAAGGAAUUGGCGGGGGAGCACCACAAGGGGUGAAGCUUGCGGUUUAAUUGGAGUCAACGCCGGAAAUCUCACCGGGAGCGACAGCAGUGUGAUAGCCAGAUUAAAGGUCUUGCUAGACGAGCU